UACGGAGGGGGCUAGCGUUGUUCGGAAUUACUGGGCGUAAAGCGUACGUAGGCGGCUUUGUAGGUUAGAGGUGAAAGCCCAGAGCUCAACUCUGGAAUUGCCUUUAAGACUGCAUCGCUUGAAUCGUGGAGAGGUUAGUGGAAUUCCGAGUGUAGAGGUGAAAUUCGUAGAUAUUCGGAAGAACACCAGUGGCGAAGGCGACUAACUGGACACGUAUUGACGCUGAGGUACGAAAGCGUGGGGAGCAAACAGG
This 253-nucleotide ribosomal RNA is filed under the name uncultured bacterium. RNAcentral describes it as "partial 16S ribosomal RNA". It matches the Rfam family "Bacterial small subunit ribosomal RNA", at positions 524 to 776 of the family's 1533-position model. The record is from RNAcentral.